CCGGGUGAGUAACACGUAUCCAACCUGCCGUCUACUCUUGGACAGCCUUCUGAAAGGAAAGAUUAAUACAAGAUGGCAUCAUGAGUCCGCAUGUUCACAUGAUUAAAGGUAUUCCGGUAGACGAUGGGGAUGCGUUCCAUUAGAUAGUAGGCGGGGUAACGGCCCACCUAGUCUUCGAUGGAUAGGGGUUCUGAGAGGAAGGUCCCCCACAUUGGAACUGAGACACGGCCCAG
This 233-nucleotide ribosomal RNA is filed under the name uncultured bacterium. RNAcentral's name for it is "partial 16S ribosomal RNA". It matches the Rfam family "Bacterial small subunit ribosomal RNA", at positions 103 to 334 of the family's 1533-position model. The record is from RNAcentral.